Small RNA from Clostridium sp. CAG:167, 90 nucleotides. It matches the Rfam family "GA-cis RNA". The record is from Rfam. Lineage: Bacteria; Bacillati; Bacillota; Clostridia; Eubacteriales; Clostridiaceae.
UUGAGGAGAAACCGUUAUGUGCGAAGCACAUAAUUAAAAAUCGGUUCCGACGACCUGCCGCCGAGCGAAGGCGAGGGGGCGUUACACAUA